Molecule: ribosomal RNA, 489 nt
Filed under: uncultured bacterium
Lineage: Bacteria
Description: partial 16S ribosomal RNA
Rfam family: Bacterial small subunit ribosomal RNA
Source: RNAcentral
GACGAACGCUGGCGGCGUGCUUAACACAUGCAAGUCGAACGGAAAGGCCCCCAUCUUGGUGGGGGUGCUCGAGUGGCGAACGGGUGAGUAACACGUGGGUGAUCUGCCCUGUACUUCGGGAUAAGCUUGGGAAACUGGGUCUAAUACCGGAUAGGACCAUGGUUUAGUGUCUCAUGGUGGAAAGAUUAUUGUUUUGGUGCAGGAUGAGCUCGCGGCCUAUCAGCUUGUUGGUGGGGUAAUGGCCUACCAAGGCGUCGACGGGUAGCCGGCCUGAGAGGGUGGACGGCCACAUUGGGACUGAGAUACGGCCCAGACUCCUACGGGAGGCAGCAGUGGGGAAUAUUGCACAAUGGGCGCAAGCCUGAUGCAGCGACGCCGCGUGGGGGAUGACGGCUUUCGGGUUGUAAACUCCUUUCGUUAGGGACGAAGCCGCACUUUUUUUGGGUGUGGUGACGGUACCUUUGUUAAGAAGCACCGGCUAACUACGUG